CGUACGGGUGAGUAAUGUCUGGGAAACUGCCUGAUGGAGGGGGAUAACUACUGGAAACGGUAGCUAAUACCGCAUAACGUCGCAAGACCAAAGAGGGGGACCUUCGGGCCUCUUGCCAUCAGAUGUGCCCAGAUGGGAUUAGCUAGUAGGUGGGGUAACGGCUCACCUAGGCGACGAUCCCUAGCUGGUCUGAGAGGAUGACCAGCCACACUGGAACUGAGACACGGUCCAG
This 232-nucleotide ribosomal RNA is filed under the name uncultured Enterobacterales bacterium. RNAcentral describes it as "partial 16S ribosomal RNA". It matches the Rfam family "Bacterial small subunit ribosomal RNA", at positions 99 to 334 of the family's 1533-position model. The record is from RNAcentral. Lineage: Bacteria; Pseudomonadati; Pseudomonadota; Gammaproteobacteria; Enterobacterales.